GGGUUAAGUCCCGUAACGAGCGCAACCCUUGUCCUUAGUUACCAGGCACGGUUAUGGUGGGCACGUCUAAGGAGACUGCCGGUGACAAACCGGAGGAAGUGGGAUGACGUCAAGUCAUCAUGGCCCUUACGGCCUGGGCUACACACGUGCUACAAUGGUCGGUACAAAGGGUUGCCAAGCCGCGAGGUGGAGCUAAUCCCAUAAACCGAUCGUAGUCCGGAUCGCAGUCUGCAACUCGACUGCGUGAAGUCGGAAUCGCUAGUAAUCGUGAAUCAGAAUGUCACGGUGAAUACGUUCCCGGGCCUU
Molecule: ribosomal RNA, 306 nt
Filed under: uncultured Pseudomonas sp.
Lineage: Bacteria; Pseudomonadati; Pseudomonadota; Gammaproteobacteria; Pseudomonadales; Pseudomonadaceae
Description: bacterial SSU rRNA
Rfam family: Bacterial small subunit ribosomal RNA
Source: RNAcentral